This 917-nucleotide long non-coding RNA is filed under the name Homo sapiens (human). RNAcentral describes it as "non-protein coding lnc-ANXA1-62:2". The record is from RNAcentral. Lineage: Eukaryota; Metazoa; Chordata; Mammalia; Primates; Hominidae.
AAACGCUACAGCUGCAGAAGCCCAUGCUGUUACCUUCUCUCCUCAUCCGUUUUUAGUAUUUGUAAUAUUUCUGGCCCUCCCACAUCUUUGGCAAUGUUUUCUAACGUCCCUCUUCUCUUUCUUCAGUGUUUUUCAUAAGAACGGUCCUUUCAUUUCUGUUUUAUGACGUAUAGUCUUCUGAUAAUAACACGAUAAGCAUUGUGGUGGUUCUGAACAUACAACGAAAUUAGAAAAAGUGGAAUAAUAAAUAAUUCACUUGUUUUCCUUCAGCUUCAUAAGGUUUCUACUAAUCUGUUUUCCUUAUGGGCCAAACUCUUAGAGAAAUUUGAUCAGGUGCCUUUAAAAAUAUAGAAACACGUUCAGAGAACUUCAAAGAAUACAAAAAAUAAUGUAUUUCUUUUCCAAAAUAACUUCACUUUCAUCAUAAAACAUGAAAAAUGGUGAAAGAAUCAUUUCCAAAAGAAAACCUAAACUUGUCUGAUUUCAGGACACACUUUUAUCUUUAAAAAAUUUUUCCUUACUGUUGUGAAAGGAAAAGAAAAGCUCAGGACCCCAAAUUCACUAUGCCAAAAGGGAAGAGUUAAACUUGGAAGCUGAGUCAUAAAAAUAAAUAAAUAAAUAAAUAAAUAAAUAAAACAACCCAAAUCUGCCUCUCCUUUUGUUCCUAAAUUGACAGCUAAUGUCUUCAGAGGGGGCAUCCCUCACCCUGACAGUGUAAAUUAACAGUUUAUCUUCACUUCAAGGGUACAGAAGUGUAGGAAAAUGACACGGUGAAAUAGAUGGGUACUCACUGGCAGCAGUUUCAUCAAUUCUAGCUUCAAAUUGUCACCUAAUGCCAUUGUUUUAUUCUGUAACCUAUAGAUUUACUUUGUAAUGAUUGAUUCUGUAAAAUUGAAUUAUAAGGUUUAUUUUUGUUA